Molecule: non-coding RNA, 96 nt
Filed under: Stenotrophomonas sp. CC22-02
Lineage: Bacteria; Pseudomonadati; Pseudomonadota; Gammaproteobacteria; Lysobacterales; Lysobacteraceae
Source: RNAcentral
GCCCAUGGCGGGCGGUGCGUGGGGAUCCUCGUGAUCCGUCGGCUUUUUUCGCUUCGAUUUUGACCGGCACGCCAACCCGCACCGCCCGCCACCUUG